AGCUUCAGUAGCGUAUAUUAAAGUUGUUGCAGUUAAAAAGCUCGUAGUCGCAUUUCUGGCGAGAGGAUCCGGUCCGACCUUUUGGUGGGUUCUUGGGUCUCUUUCGCCAUCCUUGAGUGGUCCGUUCUGGCAUUAGGUUGUCGGAGCGUCAGCCGCUCAUCGUUUACUGUGAGAAAAUUAGAGUGUUCAAAGCAGGCUUAUGCCGUUGAAUAUAUUAGCAUGGAAUAAUAAGAUAGGACCUCGGUACGAUUUUGUUGGUUUGCGCACCAAGGUAAUGAUGAACAGGGACAGUUGGGGGUAUUUGUAUUUCGUUGUCAGAGGUGAAAUUCUUAGAUUUACGAAAGACAAACUACUGCGAAAGCAUUUACCAAGGAUGUUGUCA
This 382-nucleotide ribosomal RNA is filed under the name uncultured marine Chaetocerotaceae. RNAcentral's name for it is "SSU rRNA". It matches the Rfam family "Eukaryotic small subunit ribosomal RNA", at positions 587 to 972 of the family's 1831-position model. The record is from RNAcentral. Lineage: Eukaryota; Bacillariophyta; Thalassiosirophyceae; Chaetocerotales; Chaetocerotaceae.